Molecule: ribosomal RNA, 2262 nt
Filed under: human gut metagenome
Description: bacterial LSU rRNA
Rfam family: Bacterial large subunit ribosomal RNA
Source: RNAcentral
AGGGCGCACGGUGGAUGCCUUGGCACUAGGAGCCGAUGAAGGACGGGACUAACACCGAUAUGCUUUGGGGAGCUGUACGUAAGCUAUGAUCCAGAGAUUUCCGAAUGGGGGAACCCAGCAUCUUUAAUAGGAUGUUACGAUUGUGUGAAUACAUAGCACAUUCGAGGUAGACGCAGAGAACUGAAACAUCUAAGUACCUGCAGGAAGAGAAAGAAAAUUCGAUUCCCUGAGUAGCGGCGAGCGAAACGGGAAAAGCCCAAACCAACAAGCUUGCUUGUUGGGGUUGUAGGACUCCAAUAUGGUCGUUCUUUCAGAUAGUCGAAUGACUUGGAAAAGUCAGUCAAAGAGGGUAAAAACCCCGUAGACGAAAUGUGGAAGACACCUAGGAGGAUCCUGAGUACGGCGGAACACGAGAAAUUCCGUCGGAAUCCGGGAGGACCAUCUCCCAAGGCUAAAUACUCCCUAGUGACCGAUAGUGAACCAGUACCGUGAGGGAAAGGUGAAAAGCACCCCGGAAGGGGAGUGAAAUAGAACCUGAAACCGUGUGCCUACAACAAGUCAAAGCCCGUUAAUGGGUGAUGGCGUGCCUUUUGUAGAAUGAACCGGCGAGUUACGAUUGCAUGCGAGGUUAAGUUGAAGAGACGGAGCCGCAGCGAAAGCGAGUCUGAAUAGGGCGUUUGAGUAUGUAGUCGUAGACCCGAAACCAUGUGAUCUACCCAUGUCCAGGUUGAAGGUGCGGUAAAACGCACUGGAGGACCGAACCCACGUACGUUGAAAAGUGCGGGGAUGAGGUGUGGGUAGCGGAGAAAUUCCAAACGAACUUGGAGAUAGCUGGUUCUCUCCGAAAUAGCUUUAGGGCUAGCCUCGGAAUUGAGAAUGAUGGAGGUAGAGCACUGUUUGGACUAGGGGCCCAUCUCGGGUUACCGAAUUCAGAUAAACUCCGAAUGCCAUUCAUUCAUAUCCGGGAGUCAGACUGUGAGUGAUAAGAUCCAUAGUCGAAAGGGAAACAGCCCAGACCACCAGCUAAGGUCCCAAAAUAUAUGUUAAGUGGAAAAGGAUGUGGGGUUGCACAGACAACUAGGAUGUUGGCUUAGAAGCAGCCACCAUUUAAAGAGUGCGUAAUAGCUCACUAGUCGAGUGACCCUGCGCCGAAAAUGUACCGGGGCUAAACAUAUUACCGAAGCUGUGGAGUACACCUUUAGGUGUAUUGGUAGGAGAGCGUUCUAAGGGCGUCGAAGGCAGAUCGUGAGGACUGCUGGAGCGCUUAGAAGUGAGAAUGCCGGUAUGAGUAGCGAAAGACAGGUGAGAAUCCUGUCCACCGAAUGACUAAGGUUUCCUGGGGAAGGCUCGUCCGCCCAGGGUUAGUCGGGACCUAAGCCGAGGCCGAUAGGCGUAGGCGAUGGAUAACAGGUUGAUAUUCCUGUACCCGUUGUUUUUGUUUGAGCAAUGGAGGGACGCAGGAGGCUAAGGAAUGCAGACGAUUGGAAAUGUCUGUCCAAGCAGUAAGUCUGAAGAGGAGUCAAAUGCUUCUUUUCUUAAGGACAAGCUGUGAUGGGGAGGGAAAUAAUAGUACCGAAGUUCCUGAUGUCACACUGCCGAGAAAAGCUUCUAGUGAGAAAACAGCGGCCCGUACCGCAAACCGACACAGGUAGUCGAGGAGAGAAUCCUAAGGUGAGCGAGAGAACUCUCGUUAAGGAACUCGGCAAAAUGACCCCGUAACUUCGGGAGAAGGGGUGCUGAUCAUACGAUCAGCCGCAGUGAAUAGGCCCAAGCGACUGUUUAUCAAAAACACAGGUCUCUGCAAAAUCGUAAGAUGAAGUAUAGGGGCUGACGCCUGCCCGGUGCUGGAAGGUUAAGAGGAGUGCUUAGCGCAAGCGAAGGUACGAAUUGAAGCCCCAGUAAACGGCGGCCGUAACUAUAACGGUCCUAAGGUAGCGAAAUUCCUUGUCGGGUAAGUUCCGACCCGCACGAAAGGCGUAACGAUUUGGGCACUGUCUCAACGAGAGACUCGGUGAAAUUUUAGUACCUGUGAAGAUGCAGGUUACCCGCGACAGGACGGAAAGACCCCAUGGAGCUUUACUGUAGUUUGAUAUUGAGUGUCUGUACCGCAUGUACAGGAUAGGUAGGAGCCGUAGAAAUCGGAACGCUAGUUUCGAUGGAGGCGCUGGUGGGAUACUACCCCUGCGUUAUGGCCACUCUAACCCGCACCACUAAUCGUGGUGGGAGACAGUGUCAGAUGGGCAGUUUGACUGGGGCGGUCGC